RNAcentral lists this ribosomal RNA (426 nucleotides) under uncultured bacterium. RNAcentral's name for it is "partial 16S ribosomal RNA". It matches the Rfam family "Bacterial small subunit ribosomal RNA", at positions 354 to 796 of the family's 1533-position model. The record is from RNAcentral.
GUGAGGAUUUUUCCGCAAUGGGCGAAAGCCUGACGGAGCAAUGCCGCGUGAAGGAUGAAGGCCUAUGGGUUGUAAACUUCUUUUCUCAGAAAAGAAUUAUGACGGUAUCUGAGGAAUAAGCAUCGGCUAACUCUGUGCCAGCAGCCGCGGUAAGACAGAGGAUGCAAGCGUUAUCCGGAAUGAUUGGGCGUAAAGCGUCUGUAGGUUGUUUAAAAAGUAUUCUGUCAAAGAUUAGGGCUUAACCCUAGAUAGGCAGAAUAAACUUUUAAGCUAGAGUUUGGUAGAGGCAGAGGGAAUUCCCGGUGGAGCGGUGAAAUGCGUAGAUAUCGGGAGGAACACCAAAGGCGAAGGCACUCUGCUGGGCCAAUACUAACACUGAGAGACGAAAGCGAGGGGAGCAAAUGGGAUUAGAUACCCUUGUAGUCC